GUCUUUUUGAUUAUAAUAUAAAGUYUAAUYUGCUCAAUGAAUUUUAAAUAGCCGCAGUAUUUUGACUGUGCAAAGGUAGCAUAAUAAUUAGUUUUUUUAUUGAAAACUGGAAUGAAGGAUUGGACGAGAAAAAUUCUGUCUCUUUAUAAUUUUUAUUUAAUUUAUCUUUUAAGUGAAAAGACUUAAAUUUUUUUAAAAGACGAGAAGACCCUAUAGAGUUUAAUUAUUAUAUUUAUUUAAGGAAUUAAUAAAAAUUGAUAAUUUGGUUGGGGUGACUUAAAGAUUUAAUUAAUUCUUUAAAUUUAAAUCAUUUAUUUUUGAAUAUAAAAUCUAUAUUUUUAAUUUUAAAUAAAAUUACCUUAGGGAUAACAGCGUAAUAUUUUUUUUGAGUUCUUAUUAAAAGAGAAGUUUGCGACCUCGAUGUUGGAUUAAAGUAUAAUUUGGGUGUAGAAGCUUAAAAUUUAAGUCUGUUCGACUUUUAAAACUU
Molecule: ribosomal RNA, 487 nt
Filed under: Lampyridae sp. PJRK-2019
Lineage: Eukaryota; Metazoa; Arthropoda; Insecta; Coleoptera; Lampyridae
Description: partial 16S ribosomal RNA
Source: RNAcentral